Molecule: ribosomal RNA, 429 nt
Filed under: Actinomycetes bacterium
Lineage: Bacteria; Bacillati; Actinomycetota; Actinomycetes
Description: Actinobacteria bacterium partial 16S ribosomal RNA
Rfam family: Bacterial small subunit ribosomal RNA
Source: RNAcentral
UAGGGAAUCUUCCGCAAUGGGCGAAAGCCUGACGGAGCAACGCCGCGUGAGUGAUGAAGGUCUUCGGAUCGUAAAACUCUGUUAUUAGGGAAGAACAAAUGUGUAAGUAACUAUGCACGUCUUGACGGUACCUAAUCAGAAAGCCACGGCUAACUACGUGCCAGCAGCCGCGGUAAUACGUAGGUGGCAAGCGUUAUCCGGAAUUAUUGGGCGUACAGCGCGCGUAGGCGGUUUUUUAAGUCUGAUGUGAAAGCCCACGGCUCAACCGUGGAGGGUCAUUGGAAACUGGAAAACUUGAGUGCAGAAGAGGAAAGUGGAAUUCCAUGUGUAGCGGUGAAAUGCGCAGAGAUAUGGAGGAACACCAGUGGCGAAGGCGACUUUCUGGUCUGUAACUGACGCUGAUGUGCGAAAGCGUGGGGAUCAAACAGG